Molecule: ribosomal RNA, 497 nt
Filed under: uncultured bacterium
Lineage: Bacteria
Description: partial 16S ribosomal RNA
Rfam family: Bacterial small subunit ribosomal RNA
Source: RNAcentral
GAUGAACGCUGGCGGCGUGCCUAAUACAUGCAAGUCGAGCGAACAGACGAGGAGCUUGCUCCUCUGACGUUAGCGGCGGACGGGUGAGUAACGCGUGGAUAACCUACCUAUAAGACUGGGAUAACUUCGGGAAACCGGAGCUAAUACCGGAUAAUAUAUUGAACCGCAUGGUUCAAUAGUGAAAGACGGUUUUGCUGUCACUUAUAGAUGGAUCCGCGCCGCAUUAGCUAGUUGGUAAGGUAACGGCUUACCAAGGCGACGAUGCGUAGCCGACCUGAGAGGGUGAUCGGCCACACUGGAACUGAGACACGGUCCAGACUCCUACGGGAGGCAGCAGUAGGGAAUCUUCCGCAAUGGGCGAAAGCCUGACGGAGCAACGCCGCGUGAGUGAUGAAGGUCUUCGGAUCGUAAAACUCUGUUAUUAGGGAAGAACAAACGUGUAAGUAACUAUGCACGUCUUGACGGUACCUAAUCAGAAAGCCACGGCUAACUACGUG